RNAcentral lists this ribosomal RNA (492 nucleotides) under uncultured bacterium. Its description in RNAcentral is "partial 16S ribosomal RNA". It matches the Rfam family "Bacterial small subunit ribosomal RNA", at positions 29 to 507 of the family's 1533-position model. The record is from RNAcentral.
AGUGAACGCUGGCGGUAGGCCUAACACAUGCAAGUCGAACGGCAGCACAGUGAGUGCUUGCUCUUACGGGUGGCGAGUGGCGGACGGGUGAGGAAUACAUCUGACUCUACUUUUUGGUGGGGGAUAACGUAGGGAAACUUACGCUAAUACCGCAUACGACCUACGGGUGAAAGCAGGGGAUCUUCGGACCUUUCGCGAUUGAAUGAGCCGAUGUCGGAUUAGCUAGUUGGCGGGGUAAAGGCCCACCAAGGCGACGAUCCGUAGCUGGACUGAGAGGAUGAUCAGCCACACUGGAACUGAGACACGGUCCAGACUCCUACGGGAGGCAGCAGUGGGGAAUAUUGGACAAUGGGCGCAAGCCUGAUCCAGCCAUACCGCGUGGGUGAAGAAGGCCUUCGGGUUGUAAAGCCCUUUUGUUGGGAAAGAAAAGCAUCAGGUUAAUACCCCGCUGUUCUGACGGUACCCAAAGAAUAAGCACCGGCUAACUACGUG